This 253-nucleotide ribosomal RNA is filed under the name uncultured bacterium. RNAcentral describes it as "partial 16S ribosomal RNA". It matches the Rfam family "Bacterial small subunit ribosomal RNA", at positions 524 to 776 of the family's 1533-position model. The record is from RNAcentral.
UACGAAUGGGGCAAGCGUUGUUCGGAAUCACUGGGCUUAAAGCGUGCGCAGGCGGUUCUGCAAGUCAGAAGUGAAAUCCCGGGGCUUAACCCCGGAAUUGCUUUUGAAACUGCAGAACUAGAAUAUGGGAGAGGUUAGCAGAAUUCCGAGUGUAGAGGUGAAAUUCGCAGAUAUUCGGAGGAAUACCAGUGGCGAAGGCGGCUAACUGGACCAUUAUUGACGCUCAGGCACGAAAGCGUGGGGAGCAAACAGG